ACACUUCACAGCGACAACAAGCACUCCCAGAUCCCUCCGGAUGCCGGACUUGGAGGAGUCUAUGCAGCCCAAGCCCGCCGACCCCUCCUCCCUGCCCCCCGCCGCCGGUAGAAGAUGGAGGCCCCGAGCUCCCCCUACGCCUCCUCGCCCUAGCCGUGCCCAAGCGCGCGCCCCUCUCCUCCCCGCUGCCCCCGCAGGACCGCCCCGACGCCGACCACGACGCUGCCGAGCCCGAAGAGAAGCUGCAACCUGCAGAAUGCAAGAAAGGGCUGAUGUGUGUUGCGUCCUCGCCAUUUCUGGACAUCAAGGUUCUUGUCAUCGUCCUAUGUGAGCUGCGAAUAGCUCAUCCAUCCCACCAACCCCGAUAAUUUUUAUAUAUGCUUGCUAUGGGUUUCCAUUCAAAGCUAUAAGGUCGUUAACUGCUAUCUUAUUCAGUUUUAUUCUUCCCUGUAUCUAUCAAGCUUAGUCAUGUUUACACACAGCUUCAGUAAAUGGCAUUGUAUAUGUUUUUCUCAGUAAAUGCAAGACAUUGUAUUCAACACUAAUCUCCUAUGUAUGCCAUGAGCAUGUGAAUAGCUCAAUCCUGUUGUCUUUGUGCUUAGUGCUUACUGCCUAGGUGUUCUCAGUUUACAAAGAGUUUUGGGAGUACUUGCCUGUUGCAAAUGGAUGGGCCUGUUGUUAGAUGCAUGAGUCUGACACUCCAGUGAUUUCUAACUUAGACACUUGUAUUUAUGCAACUUUACCAACAAUUUUGUUUGCAACAGCAUUAUGCACAUGAGGCAUGACUAUACAAGUGAAUUGUCGCAGUAAGGUCCUUCCAUGGAUUUCAUGUGGCUCCUUGAGUUGUAAGAUGCAGCUCUAACAUUGAAUAUAUUUUGAAUGUUUCCAAAGAUACUCUUUGUUACGUUUACUUCAAUAUAUACAUGCAUGUUACUGAUAGAAGCUGGCUGCAGGAAUCUGUACACAUAUAUACUCUCUUGUACAGUGCAUUGCUAGAUCACUCACUAGGCAUUAUGUAAUACUACUAGGAGAUAUGGGUGAGGGACUAAAAGGAUGAUAUGCUUCCAUGAAUUUAUUUGUAAGAAGUUUUUCUUGGCUGUGUACAAACCAACCCAAAUGAAUUUAUGUUCUUUUUACUUCCAGAGUUAUAGUGCACUCAUACUGUCAUCACAUUGCGUGUUCUUGCUGCAUAUACCUCUCUAUUUGCUUAGGCAGACAACUACUUAUGUACUCCCUCCGUUCCUAAAUACUUGUCUUUCUAGACAUUUCAAAUGACUACUACAUACGGAUGUAUGCAGACAUAUUUUAGAGUGUAGAUUCACUCAUUUUGCUCUGUAUGUAGUCACUUGUUAAAAUGCCUAGAAAGACAAGUAUUUAGGAACGGAGGGAGUAAUAUGCAAACAACAACAACAACAUAGCUAGUGAUGCUAAUUCUACCUCUUGUUACAAAAUCAGAAUUCCUCUUGUUGCACAUGACAACUCCGUUUCCUCUUGUUACAGAAUCAGAAUUCCUCUGCUUCUUAUGCUACUCUGCUAGAACUCUGCUUUUCUACUUGUCAUAUUGAAUAUACAUGUUCUAAACAUUAUACAGUACUUUCGUUGUUAACUCCAAACAACUUGGGAUCUUCUCUUCUACAUGCAGCAAUUGGCUUACCAGUACGCCGCCAAGGGGGCAUGCCUUGCCCUGGUAGCAAGGAGGGGGCAUACCUUGCCCUGCAGACAGCAAGGUAAUCCUUUUCCCUGCCAUGUUCAGGUGCAUCACUCUGAUGCCGAUGAAGGGUGAGAUCUUGGUCGACACUAUGGAGAAGACCCUGAAGCCUGGUGUGUUCCUCAAAUCGGGACUGAUAGAAACCGAAGGGCCACUCGAAGCUGUCAAAGGGCACUUGUAGAUCUUGUGGUUGUGAUUACACUUGUAGAGACUUGUUGAGCUUGUGGCUGUGAUUACCAUUGUAUCUAAGUUAUACUCCCUC
Long non-coding RNA from Triticum dicoccoides, 1970 nucleotides. RefSeq lists it as uncharacterized. NCBI's taxonomy places the organism in Eukaryota, Viridiplantae, Streptophyta, Magnoliopsida, Poales, Poaceae. The record is from RefSeq and is a predicted model, not a curated record. The transcript has 4 exons.